CAGCAGAACAGCUGUAGCUUGGGUUUAUACGAGAAGUGAGGUGACUAUUGCUGAAACGUGAUGCUGGAGAGCAGCCACAUAGCUCGCUGGGUCCCAGAAGAACACCGGGAGCUCCAUGGAGCCAAACCUCUCUUCCCAGAGCUGUUGCUGAAGAUAAUUGGGUUCUGUGCAGGCUCCUGCCCACCUGCUACCAGGGCGCCGUGUCUCAGGCCGUGACAAAGGAAAACAGAAUGGUUUAAAAGGCACGUUCUCGUGAAACAAUGGAAAAAUUAAUCCUGGAUGAGA
Molecule: long non-coding RNA, 285 nt
Filed under: Anas platyrhynchos platyrhynchos (common mallard)
Lineage: Eukaryota; Metazoa; Chordata; Aves; Anseriformes; Anatidae
Description: lncRNA (ENSAPLG00000019584.1)
Source: RNAcentral